AAGUAGUCCAAUUCCUACCAUGAGAGGAAACCAAUAUCUUCUAUGUUUGAGAUCCGCAAAACGCAUUGCUGUUCUUCGGUUUGUUGAUGAUGCUACAGACCUCUUAAUUUCAUUUACUUCAUUGGUAAUAUCAGCCUCAAAGCCUCGAAGAACUUGCAACGAAGUUUCAAAAUCUUCUGUUAAACCCAUUUUCGCCAACCACCG
This 204-nucleotide unclassified non-coding RNA is filed under the name Hevea brasiliensis (rubber tree). Lineage: Eukaryota; Viridiplantae; Streptophyta; Magnoliopsida; Malpighiales; Euphorbiaceae. The record is from RNAcentral.